AGUGUUCCAGAAUGUCAGGGUUCUAGAAUUUCACCUUGGAAAUGUCAGUAUUCCAGCAUGUCAGGGUUUGAGAAUGUUGGUUUCAAAAUGUCAGUAUUUUGAAAUUCAGUAAUCUGGAAUGAAAGGGGUUCUAGAAUUUCAGUUUUGAAAUGUCAUUGUUUUGAAAUGUCAGUUUUUCCAGAAUGUUAGUGUUCUAGAAUGUUGGUUUCUAAAGGUCAGUGUUCCAGAAUGUCAGGGUUCGGGAAUGUCAGGUGUUAUGCCCCAGUCUAGGGGUGCCUUGGACACAACAUGAUAAGGCCUCAUCUUCCCCAAGUCCCAAGUAGCCACAAACCAGAGAUUUGUUUCGAUUUCAAGAAAAUGAUUUAUUUACAUAAGUAAAUGAACAUAUAGAUAUAGAAAAAUAACUAAGGCGGAGUGGUUAGGCUUCAGGUUGGACUAAUGCCAAAAUAACCAAAAUGAUCCUGUCUGUGGAGUAAGUAAUUAACCUACCCAAACAAAGGAAAUGAAUGACAAAUGACUUACCUCCCUAACUUAAUAAACAGGAGAAAAUAAGGUUAACAAAACUGGCAUCCCACCCUUACUACCCACUACCGAAAUCACUACCAAAAUACACAACGGUUUAACUCAGCAAAACAGUGUGGUCGGUUGGGAGAGGAGGAGGAUGAGGAAUGCCUGCAGCCCUGCCACCGGUGGCGGCCAUCUUGGCUCUUCAAAUAGCAGGUGUAAGUAGCUCUCAGCUAAUCCCUGGCCAGGACGUAGAUCCAAUCCAACAAUGACCGCACGGCUGUGGCACACACCUAUUUGCAUACGAGAUUGGCACAAAAGACACAGGGCACACACACACACACACACACAGCAGACAGUCUACAAAUAUAUGACCAGUCAUAACACAGGGUUCUAGAAUAUUGGUUUCUAAAUGUCAGUGUUCCGAAAGGUCAGGGUUCUAAAACGUCCGUGUUUUGAAAUGUCAGUGUUCCGGAAUGUCAGUGUUUUAGAAUGUCGGUAUUGAAAUUUCAGUGUUUUGAAAUGUCAGUGUUAAGGAAUAGCAGGGUGCUGGAAUGUCAGUUUCGAAAUGUCAGUGUUUUGAAAUGUCAGUGUUCUAGAAUUUUGGUUCUAAGCUGUCAGUGUUCCUGAAUAUCAGGGUUCUAGAAUUUUGGUUUUGUAACGUCAGUGUUCCUAAAUGUCAUCAUUUUAAAUUGUCAGUGUUUCAAAAUGUCAGGGUUCUAGAACGUCGGUUUUAAACUGUCAGUGUUUUGAAAUGUUAGUGUUCUGGAAUGUCAGGGUUAAAGAAUGUCGGUUUUUAAACGUCAGAUUCGAAAUGUCAGGGUUUUGAAAAUGUCAGUAUACUAGAAUGUUGGUUUUGAAAUGUCAGUGUUUUGAAAUGUCAGUGUGCUGGAAUGUCAGUAUUCCUGAAUGUUAGGGUUCUAGAAUGUUGGUUUUGAAAUGUCAGUAUUCCGAAAUGUCAUGGUUCUAGAGUGUUAGUUCUGAUAAGUCAUUGUUUUGAAAUGUAGGUGUUCCAGAAUGUCAGGGUUUUAAAAUGUUGGUUUUGAAAUGUCAGUUUUUUUAAAUGUCACUGUUCUUGAAUGUCAGGGUUCUGGAAUGUUGGUUUGAAAUGUCAAUGUUCCAGAAUGUUGGUUUUGAAAUGUCAUUGUUUUGAAAUGUCAGUGUCACAGAAUGUCAGUGUUCUAGAAUGUUGGUUCUAAGCUGUCAGUGUUCCUGAAUGUCAGGGUUCUAGAAUUUUGGUUUUGUAAUGUCAGUGUUCCGAAAUGUCAGCAUUUUAAAAUCUCAGUGUUCCAAAAUGUCAGGGUUCUAGGAUGUCGAUUUUGAAAUGUCAGCGUUCCCAAUUGUCAGUGAUCUAAAAUGUUAUUUUAAAAUUUGAGUGUUUUGAAGUGUCGGUUUUCUGGAAUGUCAGGGUUCUGGAAUAUUGGUUUUGAAAUGUCAGUUUUGAAAUGUCAGUGUUCCGGAGUGUCAGGGUUCUAGAAUGUUGGUUAUACAAUGUCAGUAUUUUGAAAUUUCAGUGAUCUGGAAUGAAAGGGGUUCUAGAAUGUCAGUUUUGAAAUGUCAGUGUUUUCAAUUGUCAGUGUUCCAGGAUGUCAGGGUUCUAGAAUGUCGUUUUUGAAAUGUCAGUGUUCUAAUAUGUCAGUUUUGAAAUGACAGUGUUCUAGGAUUUAAGGGUUCUAGAAUGUUGGUUUUGAAAUGUAAGUGUUUUGAAAUGUCACUGUUCCGCAAUGUCAAAGUUUUAAAUGUCAGUGUUUUAAAAUAUCAGUUUUCCGGAAUGUCACGGUUCCAGAAGGUCGGUUUUGAAAUGUCAGUGUUUCGAUAUUUCAAAGUUUUAAAUGUCAGUGUUUUGAAGUGUCAGUGAUCGGGAUUUCAUGGAUUCGGAAUGUUGGUUUUGAAAUGUCAGUGUUUUCGAAUGUCAGUGUUCCGGAAUGUCAGG
RNAcentral lists this long non-coding RNA (2437 nucleotides) under Xyrichtys novacula (pearly razorfish). The record is from RNAcentral. Lineage: Eukaryota; Metazoa; Chordata; Actinopteri; Labriformes; Labridae.